GACGAACGCUGGCGGCGUGCCUAAUACAUGCAAGUCGAGCGGACCUGAUGGAGUGCUUGCACUCCUGAAGGUUAGCGGCGGACGGGUGAGUAACACGUAGGCAACCUGCCCUCAAGACUGGGAUAACUACCGGAAACGGUAGCUAAUACCGGAUAAUUUAUUUUGCAGCAUUGUGAAAUAAUGAAAGGCGGAGCAAUCUGUCACUUGAGGAUGGGCCUGCGGCGCAUUAGCUAGUUGGUGGGGUAACGGCUCACCAAGGCGACGAUGCGUAGCCGACCUGAGAGGGUGAACGGCCACACUGGGACUGAGACACGGCCCAGACUCCUACGGGAGGCAGCAGUAGGGAAUCUUCCGCAAUGGGCGAAAGCCUGACGGAGCAACGCCGCGUGAGUGAUGAAGGUUUUCGGAUCGUAAAGCUCUGUUGCCAGGGAAGAACGUCUUCUAGAGUAACUGCUAGGAGAGUGACGGUACUUGAGAAGAAAGCCCCGGCUAACUACGUGCCAGCAGCCGCAGUAA
RNAcentral lists this ribosomal RNA (516 nucleotides) under uncultured bacterium. RNAcentral describes it as "partial 16S ribosomal RNA". It matches the Rfam family "Bacterial small subunit ribosomal RNA", at positions 28 to 523 of the family's 1533-position model. The record is from RNAcentral.